RNAcentral lists this ribosomal RNA (253 nucleotides) under uncultured bacterium. Its description in RNAcentral is "partial 16S ribosomal RNA". It matches the Rfam family "Bacterial small subunit ribosomal RNA", at positions 524 to 776 of the family's 1533-position model. The record is from RNAcentral.
UACGGAGGAUGCAAGCGUUAUCCGGAAUGAUUGGGCGUAAAGCGUCCGCAGGUGGCUGUGUAAGUCUGCUGUUAAAGACCGGGGCUUAACUUCGGAAAGGCAGUGGAAACUGAACAGCUAGAGUAUGGUAGGGGCAGAGGGAAUUCCUGGUGUAGCGGUGAAAUGCGUAGAGAUCAGGAAGAACAUCGGUGGCGAAGGCGCUCUGCUGGACCAUAACUGACACUCAGGGACGAAAGCUAGGGGAGCGAAUGGG